AACGGUCUAUACCUGCGGUACCUGCGGAGGGAUCAUUACAUGAUUUGAGGGGGCUCACGUCCCCUCAUCCAACCCACAAACCCCGAGGAACUUUUAUGUCGAGUGGUUCGGCGCUCUCUUUGAGAGCCGCCCCUCAGACGCAUCGCAGGCUUUUCGUGAAGGUCUGAUGUGUCACAUCGUGAGUAUUAAAACUUUCAACAAUGGAUCUCU
RNAcentral lists this unclassified non-coding RNA (210 nucleotides) under soil metagenome. RNAcentral describes it as "partial contains 5.8S ribosomal RNA, internal transcribed spacer 2, and large subunit ribosomal RNA". The record is from RNAcentral.